This 3459-nucleotide long non-coding RNA is filed under the name Gallus gallus (chicken). The record is from RNAcentral. Lineage: Eukaryota; Metazoa; Chordata; Aves; Galliformes; Phasianidae.
CUCACACUGUUAGUGAUAGGAUUUCUCCUGCUGCCCAUCUCUCUCACUGGUCCCAUAGGUUCUCACACUGCACUCAUCAGGUUACACGAACUAUUAAUGAGGUAUUGAAAAAGAGCCACAUUCACAGAAGUGAAAACACCGGUGUAUACACAUUAACCAGCAUCACGAGCCAAACAUGUUACCUGAGACCUUCAGAACCAGGAAAGAGACUCAGUCAUGCAAAUACCAGUGAUUUCAGUACUACUUUGGUACCAAAAGGCACUUUUCUGCAGCAUGGAUAUGCAAAAUUGAACACAAACAAAACUGCUAAUGACCAUAAAGCUCUGAAAAAGAACAGGCAGAAAGGACCAUCCCUACGGCAUCUCUUACCAAAGAAAAGGAUUAAAAGAGGGCUUCAGCUGACAGCAGUGAAUGCAAACACGCCGGCAUCAGUCAGGACAAGCUCCCUGCCUGAGGUCACCACCUCCACACAGGUGCUGCCCUCUCAUUUCUACUCGGGGAAAAAAGAGUAGAGGGGGACAGCAAAGUUUCAGCUUACCGCAUUGAGCCCCAGGGAGUUGUAGGGCAGAGAGGAGGUGACUCCGGACAGGAUGGCGGUGGCCACCACUGCCCCCAGGCACUGGGCGAGGAUGUACAUCAGCGCCUUGAAGAUGCUGAUCUGGCAGCUCAGCAGGAGGCCCAGGGUCACCGCCGGGUUCAAGUGGGCACCGCUGAUGUGGCCCACGCUCUGCGCCAUGGUCGCGAUGGAUAACCCAAAAGCCAGCGAAACCUUCACGUUGUCCUGAGUUGCUGAUGUCCCGUUGACUGACACUGGGAAAUUAAAACCCAGAGCCGAGCCAAUGCUGAUAAAAAUAAAGAGGAUCAUGGCGAGGAACUCAGCCACCACCGCCCUCCAGAACAUUUUCUUUUUGAAUUCACUGGCCAUCUCUCCUCUUUCUCUGCCCUCUUUCUCUUCUGUUUCUUUCCCCUGCCUGAUAUUUUCCCUUCGAGGUCUGAAGAGAAAGCUGGAGAAAAAAUACGGUCCUUGGAUUAUUUAUAGGGCUUUGGGUGGUCUGUAGGAGGGAAGGGGUGUUGCACAAAAGGAGGAAAGAACAUCUACAUCGAUGCUGACUGCUAGAUUGAUGUCGGAGCAAGGGCUGUCGCGGGGUCUCUGCCUGACACAGGGCUGAAAGGAGACGCGCUCCGCUGAGUUACCGCGCUCAGCUCCACAGCAGCUGGGGGACAUCCAGCAGUAGUAAACGCAGCUGACAACUACAUCUGCACUCUAGAGAUGGAAAGAUCCCCGUUUCGUUUGAAAACAGAUAGACAAGUCUCUCCGGCUGGCUCCCCGAGGACCGGGUGCAUUUUGGAUGCCAUCCUGACCACGGACGGACAGACACAGAGCAACACGCACUGAUCUGAGCUGACUGAGGCAGGGAUCGCUCCCCACCUCCGUGACCGCUGUGUAAAUCGGACCAGACACCGCAGCAAGGGGAAGCUUUCCGUGGCCGUGGGUGCCGAAAGAUAGGUUUAUUUUUACUAUUAUUUAAUGAUUUAAUUUACCUAAUCUCAGGGUUUCCCAAUCAGCAAAGCAGCCGCUCAGGGGCUCCCCAGCCCACAUCCUGCAGUGAAAGCACAGCAGAACAUCAGUUGUCACCAGCGAGACUGAAACGGGGACGGAAGGGGAGCGCGAGGGAGAAGGGGCAUUAUUACAUGCUUGAUUUUGCAGACAAAAUGAAUCACCCGACAGAGCCAGAAUAUCCUCUGGAGCAAAAGGUCUCACCGCUCCGGGCGUUAUCGCGGCAGGACGUGUGUGCAUGCCUUGGAUUAACCCUUGUGCUCUCAGAACGCUGCGGGUUGAGCGGCUGCUGAUAGCUUAUUCUGUAAGCCAGGGGGCUUCCUCGGACUUACAGCUGUGCAGCAGUCGAUCCAGAGGCAGAAACAAAGUCCCCGGGCACAAGUCUUGAAAGAAGAACACCAAAAAUCAUCCCACUCCUCCUUUUUCUUCUUCUUCCCUCGAUGCGCCGCUGCCAGAUUCUAAAUUGCACUUAAGUUAGUUUGAAGUUUUUCACUUGGGCAAUGUGUCACUACGGGAAUAAAACUAAAUACACACCUGGAUAGCAUUAGAUAAUUGACAAAUGCCUUUUUUUAAGCAUAUUUCUCUUUCUGAAGAUGAUUCAGAUUCAAGUUUGAAUAAAAAUCUGGGUAUCCUCAGCCAUUGUCCCCAUGUCAUUAUUCUUUCUAGUCUUCAGAUGUUUCUGAUUUUCUGAAUAAGUAGUUUUAUUUUGUUCUGUUUUAUAAUGUGCUUAUACAACAGCACUGCACAAAUCACACAAAAAAAAAAAGGGGGGAAGGGGGGGGAAGGAGGGGAGAAGCAGUGAAAUAGGGACAAGUUAAUUGUUGGCUUCAUCCUUCUAAUUACAGUGGAACUGCAAUGAGGCACAAAGUGACAGAUGAAUCAAAAUUCAAAUUUAGACAAGUUUCACGGUGGAAUUUUAGGAUUAAAAUGUCAAUGCUGGUUGUAUUCCGUUCAGCAGGACAUUUUGUUUACUGUUUUGCAAACUGUUCCUAAGACCUGCAGAUCAUACGUGACCAGCUUCCCUGGCCCUACCACCAGAUGCCCAAGGCAUACAUCACACACCUCCGGGAAAGAAGAGCUCUAUGAAUAGUUUACAAGAGCAAGUACUUUCCAUGCGUCCCAAAUUGGCACCUGUGGGAUGGAGCUGCCCAUCCCAUUCACUGUGUCCACAGGAAACUCCCUCUUUACUCACUUCUUCCUACAAUUAGGGUCUGGAUGACCAAACAACCUCUGUCCCAGUACUGAUAAGGUGAGAAGGAAUCCCUCAAAGGAAAAUUACUAGAAGCCAGGAAAAUGGGCUGGGGAAGUGUUUCAGACGCCUGUUUGAUUCAUUCAGUCUCCCUUAGGUAUCCCUAGGAGUCCAGUAGCAGAGAUGGGGUACAGGGCAAGCAAAACCUUUAGUCUUUUGUGAGAUAGCUUUGGCAUAUGUGGGUAAUGCACAAAUUCAGUGUUCCUCAAGAGCAAUAAAUUGCUCACCCUCCUCUAGAGUUAGUUAGUUAAUUUUCCUCCUGAGACUCUUGAUAGAUCUCUCUGCAGCUACUACCCACCCUCCAUUUCAUAUCUUGGAAUGCCACCAGAAGACAAUUAAUGAUUAACACUGUCAUACAGAUUUAGAAACAAUAUAUAUAUAUUUAUAUUUUAAGGAGCUGAAACAAAAUAAAGACAAAAAUGUUACAUAGAAACAUGGAAAAUGCACAGCUGGGGAGUUGUUAGCCAGUCUUACCUGAUGUGAAUGAUGUCAUGAUCAUUGCUGCUAUCUUGUUAACUAAUUGCUGACAUGGUGGUGAUAGCAGUACUGUGAGAAGACAUGCAGCAGACAUUGUCUUGUCAUUGUCAGACAUAGGUGAGCCACCAAGGGCAGAUGGUGUCCAAAGAACAAAUAUUCUGCACAUGAAACAGAG